Long non-coding RNA from Prinia subflava (tawny-flanked prinia), 2083 nucleotides. RefSeq lists it as uncharacterized. NCBI's taxonomy places the organism in Eukaryota, Metazoa, Chordata, Aves, Passeriformes, Cisticolidae. The transcript has 3 exons. The record is from RefSeq and is a predicted model, not a curated record.
UCCUAAAGUGAAAUUGGUGUCAUCAGUCAUUCAUUGUUACUUUAGUAGGUACAAAUUUGACAAAAAAACCCUAGAGACAGAGUGUUAAAGGCUAAUGAUACUAGGCAAAAAACUCUGUGUUAUAUUUAAGGUUAAGAGAUUCACUCUUUGUAUUCAAGAACAAUUUUUACAUUCUUGAAACUUGCACUUUCAAGGCUACUCUGAUAAAGCACCUUAGAGGAAAGUCUGUUUGUACUCAUUCUAAAAAGCUACACAAAUUCAAACACUUAUUUAAUAAGAUGGAUAAUUUUAAAGUUCACAUCAAUUUUAAUGUAAAAGCAAUGUCACUUCAGAGGUUCUCAGCAGGCAGCAAAAGCUUUCAAACUUAUUUAAACACCAGCUGCGUUUCAACAAAAUGUCAGUUCCCCCAGUUCCACUCACACAGGAAACUCCUUGGUAAACAGCCUCUUUCUCUGCUUUCUAAUGGAUGCCUGACCUAUUUAUUGCACCACAGACACAAUACUGAAAGAAUCCUGCAGCAGGCACUUAGAAAAAGCAAGCUAAUAAAACCACAAGUUGCAGGAGUUUGCUAGAAGCAAUGAAAUUUAUGCCACGCCUCCCCAAAAUGUAUUCCCUUAUUCAUUAGUAAUUUAUUUUGAAACAAAGUAGAAUGCAAUGGUAAAAACUUAGUUUAUAGGGCAUGUUACUGAAAGGAAGAAUUGAGAUGUUGAAGUCUGAAUGUUCAAAAUAAUCAAAACUAAUCCUGCUAAAAGGGAGUCAAUUAAGAUACAGAGAGAUGCUCAUAGCUCCUUUUCCUUUUCCUUUUCCAAGUGGUUAUGAAGUUAAAGCAGCACUGCCAUGACUGGCAACUUAUAACUGCCAAGUAUAAAAUGUAUGUCAGCCCUGAAUUUCAGCAAGUUAUGUGGAAUAGACACACUUCACCCCAACACCACUCAAUAUGGAUGCCUUGUUUGCCAUACAGACAGGAGCUCAAAAUUGUAAACCUCAGACAGGUUAUUCCACACAAACCAUGCUGUCCUCUUGAGGGCUGAUAGCUUGCAAAUUUUACCACUUCUGAUGUGGAAAAGGGAUGAGAGGGAAACAGAUAUCCAGUAACAAUAAAAUACAGAAGGACCUUAUCUGCUUUGCCCCAAUUCUCAGCCUAUUUCCUUAUUCCAGCUCUGUGCCUGCCCUCUGGUUUCCAAGCUACAUAAGGAAGCUGUGGCUCAAAGAAAAUAGUUUUUAGAGCAUGGACUACUCAUUGUUGAGAUGCAUGACUGCACACUUGGCAAAGAAACAAACUGAGAAUAAAGCUAAAGGCACAGUAUUCAUUUGGUAUAAAGAGCACCAUGGGCUUCAGAAGACACAUAAUGGAGUUGAGUCUCUUUCAUCCUUUUCUUAAGUACUUGACAAUUCCUUAAGAUUUGACAAUUCUAUCAAAGGGUUGUAUGAUCACAGCAACAAAACUAUUUACCAUGAAAAGAACAAACAGCUUCCCACAGCUCUACUGGUAUCAAAUCCAGAAAAGAAGUGAUUCACAAAAAUACAGUAAAGGCUGUGAAGAAUAAUAGCUGUGAAAUAAUAAGGUAUGUAUAAAGGCAGUAGAGUAAUUUGGUUUAACUGGCAGAUAUAUAAGCUUCACAUGAAAUGAAAAUUAAACACAGCUGCAUCUAUUACAAAGUUGUGAACCAAAUAUAUAUCAAAUAUAUAUCAAAAUGUGAAUUUAAACUGAAUUUAAAGCCAAACAAAGGCUGUAACUUUAGACUGUGCACAAUUAAGAGAAUUCAACAUUGAACUGGAAAAAACCCAGAUCUAGAACCAGAGAUGUGUGGCUCUAAAUUCACCAAGAAAACUGCUCAGAAUUUUCAGCACCAGAUGCAACAAACACAGCAACUUUGCAUUAGACCCUAUGUCAAAUGACUUACAACAAAAAUAUCUUUUCUGCAGUAGCAAAAUAACUACAGAAAUUCAUGUAGUGUUCACAUGAGGAUUUUUAUGUAACAUUUUAAAAUUCGGAGCAGUCAGGUCAAGUCAUUCCUCUUCACUGCUCUCCAAUAUGCACAUGAGCUGAAAUACUUUUACUUUAUGAGAUCUCCAGUCACAA